UCCCUGGUGGUUUAGUGGUUAGGACUCAGCACUUUCACUGCCGAGGGCUUGAGUUCAAUCCCUGUUUGGGGAA
Ovis aries (sheep) is the source of this 73-nucleotide transfer RNA. It matches the Rfam family "tRNA". From Rfam's summary of the family: Transfer RNA (tRNA) molecules are approximately 80 nucleotides in length. Lineage: Eukaryota; Metazoa; Chordata; Mammalia; Artiodactyla; Bovidae. The record is from Rfam.